This is an RNA transcript of Gorilla gorilla gorilla (western lowland gorilla), 2139 nucleotides long. It is a transcript of the gene named NK1 transcription factor-related protein 1-like, with no coding region annotated. The transcript has 4 exons. Lineage: Eukaryota; Metazoa; Chordata; Mammalia; Primates; Hominidae. The record is from RefSeq and is a predicted model, not a curated record.
CGCCCGAAGACCGCCGAGGCCUCCCGCAGCGCCGCGGUGACACCCGGGUCAGGGGCGCGGGGCCGGGCGCCGGGGAUUGUGGGAGGCGCGGGGGGGCGCGCCGGCCGCCUUCGGAGCCCCGCAACUCGCGUCCUGCAAAGGCCGCCGGGCCCUGUCGAGAAGACCCGACCGCAGAUGGCGGGGAGGAUGCUCCCGGCGGCGCGGGAACCGGGUCUGACUCCCGAGCCACCGCCGCUUCCGCAGGGGCGCCGGCCCCGGGAAAGUCAAGUCAUAAAUCCCUGAAUCUAAAACUCCAUUCUCAGAGAAAAGGCCUCCAAGGACGGGCGCCGUGCGCGGCAACUGCCUGCAGUUUUGAAGCCCUUUGACUAUUUCAUAACAAAGACAAGGCCGGGCGGCUUGGACGCUUAGGAAAAUCCUGGGGCUUUGCAAAAACAACAGGUUAAUCUAGUCGUGUGGGAUGAUCACCAAAACAAGACAGGAAAGAAGAACACCGUGUCAAUGCUGAAAAGCCAGCCCCUAACACAGGGCUUCUACUCCAGGGUCUCCUCGCCAGGGAACCCCAAACACACAGGACCUGGAGAAGCCGGGUAGAGCUGGCUCCUGGCCCUGCGCUUGGGUGGUCGGCUGCCUUAAGAAGAACUGCACCCCAGAGACAGGCUCGCAGCUGCCGACCUUAUCCACUCGCCCUUUCUGCCGGAGCCCAGGCCCAGUGCUCCAGCAAGGAGGCUGAGAAAAUGCUGAAGACUGAUGCCCACGGGGGACAGCUUGGGCUAAGGAUAACGUUUGCAAAACAAACCUUUAAAAACCCAUAGCAACCUGUUUCCUAGAGCACACUCUUCAUCUCUCCACCCCCAAACUAGUCCCGACUCGGAUCCUCCUUUUCCUAUCCUCUUUCUCUUGCUCUCCCGUCUCCUAUUCACUUUUCCUCUCCUUUCCUCUUGAUUAUUAUAAACAAAUGCUUCCCCAGUCUUACCGCCAUCAUAUGUGUACAUAUGCAACCCUUACUGUUACCAAUUUGUUGAAGUCAAGACAGGAGGAGGCAAAGUUUAAAAAUCAGAAGCAUUGCAGGAAAUGAAAAUGGAGUGAGUGUUGCCUGGGUAUCACAAAUUUUUUUUUUUUUUUUUUAACAGUUCCUCUACUUGGCUCUCCUCCAAAGGUACGCGGCCACAGCAGGCAGGGGCUUGGCAGUGUGGGAGGAGACACCACAGAAGACAGGGAAGAACUGCCAGGCCUUGGUUCAUCUCCACACUGGCGAGAGAGGACGUGCAGGGAAGUAUCGGCUGCCAGAUAGGGAGCUGAGACUUCAAGAAGCUAAAUAAGGUGUCCAACACCACAGAGCAUGGAGCAAAGGACACGGGACUCCAAAUCUUCCUAACUCGUGUGCUCAUCUGGCUAUCUCACCAGGGCCUUAAAUUUAAUAUAUCCCAAACUGAACUCAUCUUUAUCCCUUCCCACUUUGCACUCCUCAAAUGUCCUUGUUUAAAAUAGUUACCUUUAUCUUUCCUAACCCAGAAACUCAAAACCUGGCAUCAUCUUUGACUUCUCUCUUUACCUUCACAUUCAACAGUUUCCAAGACUUAAAGGCUUUAUUUGCAGGAUCUCUACCCCUGAUCCUCUACAGUUUCACACCUACAUCCCAUUCUCGUUCCCAAAUCCCCAUAACUCCUCUCCUGGCCCAUCCCUUAACACUGAAAUCCUGGCUUGGAAAAUAUGGUCACAUUCACAGCAGCUGUCCCCAAGAAGGAAGCCAAGGCAACAGUAUGCACAAUGAAAUCACUCUGGGAGAAACUCACUGCCAUGUUGUGACAACACCAUGGAGACGCCUAGGUGAGGGACUGAGGCUUCCUGCCAACAGCCACAUGAAUAAGAUUGGGAACAGAUCCUCCAGCCCCAGUCAAGCCUUCAGAUGACUGCAGUCUCAUGAAAGACCCUGCGCCAAAACCACCCAGCUUGAUGAAAUAAUCUGUACAACAAACCCCCAUGACACAAGUUUACUACAACAAACCUGCACAUGUACCCCUGAAUUUAAAAGUUAAAACCACCACCACCACCACCAACAAAAAACACCCAGCUAAGCCACUUCUGAAUUCCUAACCUACAGAAACUAUGAAAUAAUAAAUAUUUGUAUUUUCAAAAUUA